RNAcentral lists this ribosomal RNA (253 nucleotides) under uncultured bacterium. RNAcentral's name for it is "partial 16S ribosomal RNA". It matches the Rfam family "Bacterial small subunit ribosomal RNA", at positions 524 to 776 of the family's 1533-position model. The record is from RNAcentral.
UACGUAGGUGGCAAGCGUUGUCCGGAUUUAUUGGGCGUAAAGCGCUCGCAGGUGGUCCGAUACGUCGUGCGUGAAAGCCCCCGGCUCAACUGGGGAGUGUCGUGCGAUACGGUCGGACUGGAGGCCAGUAGGGGGAUGCGGAAUUCCGGGUGUAGUGGUGGAAUGCGUAGAGAUCCGGAGGAACACCAGCGGCGAAGGCGGCAUCCUGGACUGGUCCUGACACUCAUGAGCGAAAGCGUGGGGAGCGAUCCGG